This 397-nucleotide transfer-messenger RNA is filed under the name pig gut metagenome. It matches the Rfam family "transfer-messenger RNA". From Rfam's summary of the family: Bacterial tmRNA, also known as 10Sa RNA or SsrA, is named for its dual tRNA and mRNA-like properties. The record is from RNAcentral.
GGGGAUGUUUUGGUUUUGACAGCAUCUGUGUUGGAUGGUAAGCACGCCGGGCGUCGGAAGUUUGCCCGUAAAUCUCAGCUUUCAAACUAUAGUAGGCAACUACUCUUAUUCUUACGCUUGCUAGUUUCCCAAGGAAACUGCAUUAAUCCGCGGGGCCAAGGCUGCUUCGCCGACGUAUGUCCCACCUCGCUUUAGGCCGGUUCAGUGAGGAUUCCGGGAUAUCAUCCAAAACCGGAUGCACGGAGGGACUCCCUUACACCUCCGCCAAGACUUAGGGGAUAAGGUUCAGAUGGCCUGCCUUCCGGCAUUCUGCUCCCGACAAUCAAAGAAAGGAUAAGCGUGUAGAAAGCCUUUCGGCAAGUUGUUUGGACGGCGGUUCGAGUCCGCCCAUCUCCAC